AAAGCCUAGAUUCUAAUAUCCUAAGUCUGAGCAUUAGUAUCUGAACUCUGGGUAUCUGGCGGUCUGAUGUCUGGUCUAGUGGCGGACGGGUGAGUAACGCGUGAGCAACCUGCCUUACAGAGGGGGAUAACAUUCGGAAACAAAUGCUAAUACCGCAUAACAUAUAUUUACGGCAUCGUAGAUAUAUCAAAGGAGCAAUCCGCUGUAAGAUGGGCUCGCGUCCGAUUAGAUAGUUGGUGAGGUAAUGGCUCACCAAGUCUGCGAUCGGUAGCCGGACUGAGAGGUUGAACGGCCACAUUGGGACUGAGACACGGACCAGACUCCUACGGGAGGCAGCAGUGAGGAAUAUUGGUCAAUGGGCGAGAGCCUGAACCAGCCAAGUCGCGUGAAGGAAGAAGGUUCUAUGGAUUGUAAACUUCUUUUGCAGGGGAAUAAAGGACGGUACGUGUACUGUUUUGUAUGUACCUUGCGAAUAAGGAUCGGCUAACUCCGUG
This 494-nucleotide ribosomal RNA is filed under the name uncultured bacterium. Its description in RNAcentral is "bacterial SSU rRNA". It matches the Rfam family "Bacterial small subunit ribosomal RNA", at positions 58 to 507 of the family's 1533-position model. The record is from RNAcentral.